Molecule: ribosomal RNA, 484 nt
Filed under: uncultured bacterium
Lineage: Bacteria
Description: partial 16S ribosomal RNA
Rfam family: Bacterial small subunit ribosomal RNA
Source: RNAcentral
AUUGAACGCUGGCGGCAGGCCUAACACAUGCAAGUCGAGCGGAUGAAGGGAGCUUGCUCCUGGAUUCAGCGGCGGACGGGUGAGUAAUGCCUAGGAAUCUGCCUGGUAGUGGGGGAUAACGUCCGGAAACGGGCGCUAAUACCGCAUACGUCCUGAGGGAGAAAGCGGGGGAUCUUCGGACCUCACGCUAUCAGAUGAGCCUAGGUCGGAUUAGCUAGUUGGUGGGGUAAAGGCCUACCAAGGCGACGAUCCGUAACUGGUCUGAGAGGAUGAUCAGUCACACUGGAACUGAGACACGGUCCAGACUCCUACGGGAGGCAGCAGUGGGGAAUAUUGGGCAAUGGGCGAAAGCCUGAUCCAGCCAUGCCGCGUGUGUGAAGAAGGUCUUCGGAUUGUAAAGCACUUUAAGUUGGGAGGAAGGGCAGUAAGUUAAUACCUUGCUGUUUUGACGUUACCAACAGAAUAAGCACCGGCUAACUUCGUG